Long non-coding RNA from Micropterus dolomieu (smallmouth bass), 276 nucleotides. RefSeq lists it as uncharacterized. The transcript has 2 exons. The record is from RefSeq and is a predicted model, not a curated record. NCBI's taxonomy places the organism in Eukaryota, Metazoa, Chordata, Actinopteri, Centrarchiformes, Centrarchidae.
GCUCCAAACUGAAUUGCCUCCACUUGAGAUUUUGUACUUUAGAGGCAACAGUGCUGUCAUUCUGUGGAAAACUCAUAUGGGAUGUAUAAACUUUUUCUGCCAUGGUGAAUGGUGUUUUGUUUUUCCCCUGUAGAUCUAUUUCAUGUGCUCUACAGAAGUGUGUUUACCAGCAGAUAGGCCAUGUGAACAACGGUGCUUUGAUGGAAAGGCACCAUAAGGAUGCUGCAGAAGACUUAAGGGGGGGGGGGGGAAUAAAUCGCAUUUUAUAACACGGUA